CCUACGGGGGACAGCAGUGGGGGAUAUUGCACAAUGGGGGGAACCCUGAUGCAGCGACGCCGCGUGAGUGAAGGAGUGUUUCGGUAUGUAAAGCUCUAUCAGCAGGGAAGAAAAUGACGGUACCUGACUAAGAAGCCCCGGCUAACUACGUGCCAGCAGCCGCGGUAAUACGUAGGGGGCAAGCGUUAUCCGGAUUUACUGGGUGUAAAGGGAGCGUAGACGGCAGCGCAAGUCUGAAGUGAAAUCCCAGGGCUUAACCAUGGAACUGCUUUUGAAACUGUGCAGCUGGAGUGCAGGAGGGGUAAGCGGAAUUCCUAGUGUAGCGGUGAAAUGCGUAGAUAUUAGGAGGAACACCAGUGGCGAAGGCGGCCUACUGGACUGUAACUGACGUUGAGGCUCGAAGGCGUGGGGAGCAAACAGGAUUAGAUACCCCGGUAGUC
This 440-nucleotide ribosomal RNA is filed under the name uncultured bacterium. RNAcentral describes it as "partial 16S ribosomal RNA". It matches the Rfam family "Bacterial small subunit ribosomal RNA", at positions 338 to 795 of the family's 1533-position model. The record is from RNAcentral.